UAAAGGCUAGUAAAGAAAAAGGCUGUGAGUUGCUGGUGUUUUGGAUUAAAGGUAUCCGCAACCACUUAUAUUGGUCAGCUAUGUCUACUAAGAUGGGAUAUGGAGAUAUGAUUGUGGCAAAAUGGAAAUCCAUUGCUAGGCACAUUACAAACAAGCAUGAAACCAUCCAGAUGAGUUGUUUCCUAAAUGUGCUCAUGGAGAGCUAGAUGAACGUCUAUGGCUUCAAGUUGAUGGGAUUGUAUUCUUUUUAAGGAACUAAAUCAUAUCAGCGACUUUCCUCCAUUCUGUUGAAAAAAUCUGUUCUCAAAGAUGUUAAAAAACUAUCUUCAGAAGCACAAACUAGUUGUCUCGAAGGUUUUCAUUCAACAUUAAAUGGUUGGCAUCCAAAGAUGACCCACUUUUCUUGGCUUGGUACAUAUUGCAGGUAACUUGUAAUCACUGUUCUCUAUCUGCCAAGGCUUUUUUACUUGUUCCUAG
This is a long non-coding RNA of Xenia sp. Carnegie-2017, 477 nucleotides long. RefSeq lists it as uncharacterized. The transcript is spliced from 2 exons. The record is from RefSeq and is a predicted model, not a curated record. Lineage: Eukaryota; Metazoa; Cnidaria; Anthozoa; Malacalcyonacea; Xeniidae.